UGCUCCUCGAUUCAGCGGCGGACGGGUGAGUAAUGCCUAGGAAUCUGCCUAGUAGUGGGGGACAACGUUUCGAAAGGAACGCUAAUACCGCAUACGUCCUACGGGAGAAAGUGGGGGAUCUUCGGACCUCACGCUAUUAGAUGAGCCUAGGUCGGAUUAGCUAGUUGGUAGGGUAAAGGCCUACCAAGGCGACGAUCCGUAACUGGUCUGAGAGGAUGAUCAGUCACACUGGAACUGAGACACGGUCCAGACUCCUACGGGAGGCAGCAGUGGGGAAUAUUGGACAAUGGGCGAAAGCCUGAUCCAGCCAUGCCGCGUGUGUGAAGAAGGCCUUCGGGUCGUAAAGCACUUUAAGUUGGGAGGAAGGGCUCAUAGCGAAUACCUGUGAGUUUUGACGUUACCAACAGAAUAAGCACCGGCUAACUUCGUGCCAGCAGCCGCGGUAAUACGAAGGGUGCAAGCGUUAAUCGGAAUUACUGGGCGUAAAGCGCGCGUAGGUGGCUUGAUAAGUUGGAUGUGAAAUCCCCGGGCUCAACCUGGGAACUGCAUCCAAAACUGUCUGGCUAGAGUGCGGUAGAGGGUAGUGGAAUUUCCAGUGUAGCGGUGAAAUGCGUAGAUAUUGGAAGGAACACCAGUGGCGAAGGCGACUACCUGGACUGACACUGACACU
Molecule: ribosomal RNA, 670 nt
Filed under: Pseudomonas sp. 1B(2014)
Lineage: Bacteria; Pseudomonadati; Pseudomonadota; Gammaproteobacteria; Pseudomonadales; Pseudomonadaceae
Description: bacterial SSU rRNA
Rfam family: Bacterial small subunit ribosomal RNA
Source: RNAcentral